UACGAAGGGGGCUAGCGGUGCUCGGAAUCACUGGGCGUAAAGGGCGCGUAGGCGGACUUUUAAGUCGGGGGUGAAAGCCCAGGGCUCAACCCUGGAAUUGCCUUCGAUACUGAGAGUCUUGAGUUCGGAAGAGGUUGGUGGAGCUGCGAGUGUAGAGGUGAAAUCCGUAGAUAUUCGCAAGAACACCAGUGGCGAAGGCGGCCAACUGGUCCGAUACUGACGCUGAGGCGCGAAAGCGUGGGGAGCAAACAGG
This 253-nucleotide ribosomal RNA is filed under the name uncultured bacterium. RNAcentral describes it as "partial 16S ribosomal RNA". It matches the Rfam family "Bacterial small subunit ribosomal RNA", at positions 524 to 776 of the family's 1533-position model. The record is from RNAcentral.